Eupeodes corollae is the source of this 1529-nucleotide long non-coding RNA. RefSeq lists it as uncharacterized. Lineage: Eukaryota; Metazoa; Arthropoda; Insecta; Diptera; Syrphidae. The transcript has 4 exons. The record is from RefSeq and is a predicted model, not a curated record.
GUUAAUUUCAUUGAAUAAAAAGUAAGUCAAAUUGCAGUGAAGGAGGUGCAACAAUAAUCGAUAUGUUUUAUAGUCUGUCUUUUCAUUUUAAAUACUGCUAAUAACAUACCCUUAUGCAGGAAACAAUUUCCCUAAGAAAUCUGGAAGAGAAAGCAAACAAUGCGCUGAUUUGCAGCCAAGUUUGUUGUAUAUUAUAUUUCUGUUAACAAAAUAAUAUCAAAGUUUUUAACGACAGAUACUUCCCAUUGUGUUUGUAUGUACUUCUCAAAGGCCAUAGCUGACGGUGGAGGUGUUACCAUCUCUACAAAUAGUCAAACGCAUUCAAUGCAACAAAAUCUUCGGCAACAAUACCACCAAGUCAGUGAUGCAAGUGGAAGUUUUGCCAUUCAAGAGUUGACCGCUAACGCAUUUCUCCCAGCAGAUGAGUGUUGGUGUUGGAACGACCUAGCAGCAACUGCCAACUGAUCGCACUGGCUUAACGGUGGUAAUCAUUCGGAGCCAAAUGGGCUGGCCCGACAAGAAUCCCCUAAAGGCCAAAUACAUUAAGAUCAGUCCCUUGGCAGCUACUGACGAUGUCAGCGAGUUGAAUCCAUCGAUUUUCACACAGAAAAUCAACAUCAAAUACAUCUCGACAAUAAAGCGUGAAAAACCUCUAUCCGUAGCGGAGUGUUUGUGUGUCAAGCGAUCUCUGCGUUGUCGAAUACAAUGUCAUCAAGCCGGUGUACCAUCCAGUAUCCAUCCAGUAUCCAUCAAGUUUCGUUUUAAAGUGUUUGCCAACUGCCAUGUGCCCGACGUUCUGGUCGUGCGUUGUGAAAAGCCAAUCGAUCCUCAAACUAACUAACCCAACAAUGCACGAUAUGAACACAACCAUUAUGAAACUGCCAACACUGGAAGAGGAGCGGCAAAUGAUCGAUUUCGAAUAAAAGGUGACCGUGCCUGCAGCAACAUCGACGCCAUCAUUGAACACGAGUCUAUCGAGGCAUACAUCACUGACCAAUUAACUUCGAUAUGUUAAGAGUCCCACCUACGCCAUUCUAGAGAUGUUGAUUCGUUUGUCUUAAAUCAGCGUAACGAUUCAGGAUUUCAAGUUCAAUGAUAGGAACCAAAAUUCACCACUUGGAGAAAGUCCAAUAAAGUAACAAACAAAUUGAACUUUACACCUGAAGAAGGACUCAAACUAGGCCAUAAUGUUACCCUUAGUUUCUUGAUUUAAUAUACUUAUGUGAAUGCAGUCACAAACACGUAAAAACUGGUCAAUUUGAAGCCUCGAUUUAUUUCUAUAUCUAGAAAAUAAUCUUUUUUGCAAACAACUUUUUUAUUUAUUUUGAGCUAUAGUUUAAUUUUUAUAUAUUAUAUAUUUUACUGUUUCUUUGCUGACUAGCAUAAUUUGUAUUCAAAAUUAUUUAUGCUCUACUUUACCUAUGCGCAGUUUUAAUAAUAUAGGAACAGCUUUUAUCUAAUUAAGAUGUUUUUUAUUUUGAAUUUAAAGAUGUUGGUGCUUUUUGCUUCAGGGGUUGAAUUCGGUUGAA